GUGGGGAAUCUUGCGCAAUGGGCGAAAGCCUGACGCAGCCAUGCCGCGUGAAUGAUGAAGGUCUUAGGAUUGUAAAAUUCUUUCACCGGGGACGAUAAUGACGGUACCCGGAGAAGAAGCCCCGGCUAACUUCGUGCCAGCAGCCGCGGUAAUACGAAGGGGGCUAGCGUUGCUCGGAAUUACGGGGCGUAAAGGGCGCGUAGGCGGACAGUUUAGUCAGAGGUGAAAGCCCCGGGCUCAACCUUGGAAUUGCCUUUGAUACUGGCUGUCUUGAGUACGGGAGAGGUGAGUGGAACUCCGAGUGUAGAGGUGAAAUUCGUAGAUAUUCGGAAGAACACCAGUGGCGAAGGCGACUCACUGGCCCGUUACUGACGCUGAGGCGCGAAAGCGUGGGGAGCAAACAGGAUUAGAAACCCUAGUAGUCC
RNAcentral lists this ribosomal RNA (425 nucleotides) under uncultured bacterium. RNAcentral's name for it is "partial 16S ribosomal RNA". It matches the Rfam family "Bacterial small subunit ribosomal RNA", at positions 354 to 796 of the family's 1533-position model. The record is from RNAcentral.